UUAAAGAUAAGUUAAAUUAAACUAUUGGAUUCAUACUCCAACCAUAGGGAUACAUCACCUUCUUUAAA
Molecule: transfer RNA, 68 nt
Filed under: Aeolothrips indicus
Lineage: Eukaryota; Metazoa; Arthropoda; Insecta; Thysanoptera; Aeolothripidae
Description: tRNA-Met
Source: RNAcentral